Meleagris gallopavo (turkey) is the source of this 8049-nucleotide long non-coding RNA. RefSeq lists it as uncharacterized. The record is from RefSeq and is a predicted model, not a curated record. Lineage: Eukaryota; Metazoa; Chordata; Aves; Galliformes; Phasianidae.
ACGCCCUCAAGGGCUGGUGGGCCCUGGCCUGGCUUGUUAAUGCCCUAUCUUGGGUAUUGCUGUGCCAAAAGGGCUGGAGCCUGCUGCCUGUCCUUUGCACAGUGCAACCAGAUGGUCACAGUGCUGGGCAGGGAACAGUUAGGUUAGGAUAGGAUGCAAAGUGACACAUGAGGAGGCAGAACAGGAACAGCUUGUGAACUUCUCCUGUUUGUGGGAUUAACCACAUCCACACUAGCAGAUUAGGGUCAUUAACAUAGCCAUUAAAGAAGGGAGAGUCCCACUGUGAACAGUGACAGGUGCUUCACACAGUCAGGUGCUUGCCCCAGUGAUGGAGGCUGAGAUAGCUAUGGUCACCGCGGUGCAGACAGCUCCAGCACAGGGUGAGCCAUCACCCUCCCUGCUCCUUUCCUGCUGCUGGAAAACCACUCACAGUUUGAACGUGUUCAAGGAUGAGAGCCUGGCCCGCUGUGCUCCGUGUCCCUGCUCGGUCAUUAUCUCCUUACGUGAACUCAGCUUCCUGAGCUGCAAAAUGGGGGUAAUGUUUACUUUGCUUGCAGGGGUGUGGAGGAAUUAUUAAUUAAUGUUUAUGAAGUGCUUUCAGAUCUCUGAAUGAGAAGGGUGAGAUAGGCAGCAAGGAUUCAUGAGGCAGCUGCAAGGAGUUGUGAUGAAUUAUUGUGAUUAAAAGGUAAAUAAUUGUUAUUACUGCAUCAUAAGCAGAUACAGCCAUCAGCCCUGGACAACCUGAUCUCCAGCUCUGUUAACUUCUUUUUCCUCCUUCUUCCCAAGAGCAGUGCCUGCACAGCAUUGCUGCAGCAACCACACAGCCUCUCUGUGAUGUAGAACCUCGAUCGGUGGAAGGCUGAGCACUGCCUUCAGAAGGGCUAUAAUAACCCCAUAAAUAAAUCAGAUGAGGAUGAGCCAUCUGGCCCAGCUUCUGGUGAGGAAGAGAAGCGUGCUGCAGCCGGCCAUCAGCUGCUGCAGAGGGGCAGCUCCAGCCUGCAUGGCUGCCCAGAGCUCUCUUCUGCAGCAGCUAGGGUGGGCAAGAGGCCAUUCCUUUGCACUGAACUAUUUUCAGGAGCAGAUCCCUGUCGGGAGCAAACACACUGCAAACUGGCUCAGCCAGCUGCUUGAACGCCUGUUUCAGGUAAAGAAGCGUGAGUGCACAGAAGUGAUCCUGACCUUUGUGAGUCUCACCUCACAGCUGGGUUGGGAUAAGUACCUGCGUGUGUGCCCCUAGCAAACGUGAAACAAAAAGCGUUUGCUCAGAAAGGCUGAAAUCACUGGCCAGACCUUGCACUGGAAAUAGGUUAAGGUGCAGGCAGGCAGCUAGAGACAUGCAGGAACUAGAACCUAUGCCUGCUUUCCCAUGCUUUCUGCCCAGGUCAGACUUGGGCUGAAAGCAGUCUUUAGGUUGUUUAGCCAUCUCUGCCUUCCCCAGCCCAGCUGCUUUGAAACCAAACCAAAUGUGACCUGAUUUAGAACAGCUUGGGUAAUGUGAACCCGGCCUUGCACCAGCAGGUUUUUCCUGUUCUGGCUUCCCUGCCUCUGUUUGCACAGAGAGGGCACCCAAGCCUGCAGGAGCAGCUGGGGAGGAGCACACCUUCCACCCUUUGGUCCACCUUUUCCUGCUUUUUCCCAGCCCAUUUGCUGCACCUCAGUGGCCACCUGUCAGUGUGCACUGACAUAAAUCCCUGUAAAUAGCUACAGCCCAGACCCACAUCUACCGCCCCCCCCCCCGUCCUUGCAAUGCUGGAAGUAGAAGCACAGAAUCAUUAAGGUUAGAAAAAACCUUUAAGAUCAUCAAGUCCAGUCAUCAACCCAUCACCACCAUGGUGCGCUGGUGCAAGUAACUGAAGCAUGCAUGCAGACUUCAGUUCAACAGGACAAUCACAGCGUUCCUGAAAUAGAAAUACCAUCCAACAGAUGCACAUUCAGCAUGUAUCUUCCUCUCUAUUGGAAAAUGAGACCCCCAAGCUCAUGGAGAAAUCUCUUGGAGAAACUCACCACACAAGAAUCAGGAGGAGACGUGGAAGAACCGGUGGGUUCACAGCUGGAGUGGGAGCUUGGGGACAGGAGGCACAGAAAGCUCUGCCAGUGUUUGUCGAGAACAACUGGGUCAAAAUGGAGGUGCAUCUAAAGAGGAGCUACCUACUGGCUUCUCCCUUUGCAAAUCUCUUCCAUGGCCUGAGCCUUGUGCUGCAUCACCGAGGCCUGGGGACAAAACAUGUGGCACCUCUGACCCACUGUGGGCACCCACUUCCUCCCAAGGGAUAUUUCCUGACUCUCCAGCUGACUUGCACAACAAGUUUUUCCUCUGCCCAGGUGUUGGUGUCAGCCAUUCUCCAGCCAAGAGGAUGCUAUGCUGGGACAGGAGCAGGUGAUGAGCCUCAUAAUUAGGGGUGGGUACCACCCACCACCUCGUCCCUCAUUUAGCACACGAGAUUUAUAGCCAAGUCUGUUUAGAUUGCCCAUACAACUUAUCGUUAGCACAUAUGGCUUUUCAUCUUCAAAGCACUUCAGCAGGUGUUUUGCAAGCUUCUCCCAUGCCCUCAUGUGACAAAGGUAUUAUAUCCCUGUACAGUAAAGAGAAUGGAAAGGGGUGAAGAGAAGCUAAAUAGUUUUGGACACUCAGCCUUUCAGUCCUGUGCUCGGCCUUCACCUGCACCUUGCUGCUUCCAAGGCUUGCAAAUAGCAUUGAGGAGCUUUGUCCUGUUGUUUCGAGAACCUUGCUGCAGCUUGGCACUAGUUAACCAGCCCAAAACAUUGGCAUGCAAAUACGCACACCAUUUUACUUUUCAUUAAUGUAGAAAAUAGCACACAUUCACCUUAACAGCAACACAUAAAAGCCAUGCAUGACCUGGGAGACAUCUUGUGCCAACAUAGGGUGUUGGGAUGAGAACAGCUUAAACUGUUCAUCCCAUCUAUAACCAUUGUGGUGGAGCAGCUUUGGACGUGCCAAUGGAGCCACACGAACCUGUGCCAGCAAUUCAGUUGUAUUGAUUUAAACUCAGAAAUAUCUGUUGCAUAAAAUUCAUAUAACUUUAUGGUUGGCACUCCCAGCUUCUGGGCCGCAAGUUCUCCCCAUUGCCAGGACAACCUUGUACUAAAGAUUGCUGUGCUAUUUUUUGCUUCUCUCUCGCUAAACAGGGAGAGGAGAGCUCAUUAAAAAGGAGAGAAGGACACACUGCACGUCUUUGUCUCUUAAUAAUGAAGCCAAAUGAAAAGGCCCUAGCAGAUGGAUAAUGAGCCACUUAAGCAGGGCAUUCCCAGCCCCAGCAAGGAGGACCAGGGCUGGGUGAGGCCUCCCAACUCCACAUCCAUUCAAUGAGCAAUGUCCCGCAGAGCCCAAACACGUGUGGAGAUGGCUGGCACCUGGGAAAUCUUGCCGAAGGGCCACCAGGGCUCCAAUAAGUGACCACGCAAACUCCCUCAGAUCCCACAUUCAUUAAAAGGAAAAUGAAUGCCUGCUUUUAAUUACCUCGUUAAUGAUGUCUGCUCUUGUAGGAAGCAGGACUCGUGCUGCUGGUGCCCAUGAAGAAAGUAGAAGCUUCUACUGAGUGUUUCUGUGGGUGAGCUCUGUCAGAGCACCUCCUCUGGGCCCCACCAGUGUCCAGCAGAGCUUGGGUUGUGCUGUCUGGAGGGCACGUCAGCCUCUGCUUCCCCUUCCUCCCCUCAGGACCUCUUCUCAGUAUGCUUGUAGGUGCUCUGGAGCUGAAUAUAUCUCCUUAUUUUUGUAAGAGUUUGAAAAGAAGGAAAAGAAGACUAUGAAGAGAAGGCACGGGCUGACAGACGCACGGCUCUUACCACAAGUGCAUCUCUCCUCUAAGAAAGCAAGAGGAAAACAAACAGAUCAAGCAUUAUUUUUCUUAGUAAGGAGAAGGGGUAAUUUCCUGGCCCUGAUUCAGCACUGCCAUGUAGAGACAAUGACUCCCCUGUCAUCACCUCCCAGCUUUGCCUUUGUAACGCUGCUAAUGGCAGCACACCUCUAGGGAAGGUGCAAUUACCUGGGAGUUCACUGCCUCAUCGUUAGCAAUUACCCAGUUGUCCUGUGUCCAAUUAACUCACCCUAAUCACCACAUCAUCACCACAGACCUAAAACAGCUACUUUUCUGCAGUCACCAGUAAAUACCAUCAUUAAGCACCUGGGAGUGAAUUUGCUAUUAGCUCCACAGUGAUUAUUUGCUGCAAACAUGCAAACUGAGCCGGGCUGUUAUAAAACAUGAUCCCAGUCAAAUAAAAUCCUAUGCUGUUAGUGAGCAGCAGGCAGUGCUUAUUCCAUAUGACACCAGGAAGGCCAAGUUGUUUAAAGGUGAAGUCCUGUCUUGCUGAGGCAGACUUUUAGUCCAUCUGCUGGUUCACCAGCACUGCUGGGAGAUGUGGAGAGCUGUGUUUAUUCCUGCUUAUAGCAGAGUCUUACAGGCAAAGCCUGAAAGGCUGUAAGUGCUCUAUGGAAUUGUAAACUUCAGCAACACUGCACGAUGCACGACUUUGGUGUUUGUUUCUUUUUUUAACUGACAACCUGUGCUAGACAUUCCCAUUUAAAGAGUGAAAAAUGAUCAGUGUAACAGGCAUGACCCUUCCCCUUACUCUAACCUCCAGCUCAUUGAAGGAUCACCAGGUCAGAGGGCUGCUGUGAUAAUCCUACACCUCCAGGUCACCUUUUCAGCCCCAGGUCAGAACUAACCAGGGCUUUGUUUCCCUUCAUGAGGCUGCUUGAUGUUUGCGACAUUGAUUUGAGGUCUCUGCGUGAGAAAUCCUUGUUACAAAGGGUGUGACAAUAAUCAGUGUCAUUAUCAAUGGGUGUCCUGUUCCUGGAGACAGGAACUGGAUGGGGCUCUGAGCACCUGAUCUAGUGUAGGUGUCCCUGUUCAUUCCAGGGGAUUUGGACUAGAUGAUCUCUAAAAGUCCCUUCCAACUCAAACGAGUCAUGAUCAAGGCAUGGACCUGAGAUGGAGCAGAUGCCCUGAGCUCUUGGCAUCAGCCUGAUGGCUGCAAGCUGUGGUGCUGCUCAUGUGUCCUCCCCCACAGAAGCCAGGGAAGGUUUUCCAGCUCCCAGGAGAAGAGCUGAGUUAUGGGCUGAGUGCAGUGGAGGGAGGAACCAUGGGAUCAGCGAUAUGUAGGGCUGUGCCUGACUCACCCCUCCAUUAAACCAUCUCCAAACACUCAUUUCACUCCAUUAAUUAGCUGUGCCAGUGUAGCUAUUAAUGAGAUGUUGCUCAGAUGUUCCAGUGCUCCUCUGCUCUCCAUUGGCAUCAGCUUUUACAAGAGCCCCAGUGCUGCUGGUAGGACCAUGACUGUGAUCUUGGACACAGAUUUCUCCAUUGAGUGAAUGGAGGGAAAGAAGGGACAUGACCUUCAUGGAAAGCUGUAUUUUCUGUCUCCAGAAAGAAGACAUCCAGGCCUCCAUUAGGUGCAUCAUCCCAAUUACAGGGCUGGGGGCAGUUAUGAGGCAGAGCUGCAGCCCUACAGGAGCAUGGCGGGGAAGCAGCUUUGCAUCCAGAUUCAUCCCUUCUUGCUUUUUCAGGUCUACUCUGCCAGUUUUUGUCAGUGCUGAUAUCUCAUGCUCAGCCAUGCAACACCCCACACAUUGAUAGGGCUGUGUCUGGAGGACUGAUUUCUCUUGGUUUCUUCUUUGGGAGCAGCCCCAAAUCCCCAGCCAGCCACUACCAGAGGUGGGAGUCAGAAAUAGCCAUUCCAGGAGGGCCUGGUCUCCCUCUGGGUCUGGAAAAAGGCCCAGCAUGUAUUGAUUCAAUUCCUCAUUUAAUGCAUGUUUAUGUGGAGCAAUUCAGAACUGCUCUAUCCAUUCAAACUUACGUAGUAACAUGAGCCACAAAAUGCAGGAACUCGCUCAGUCCUUCUUAGAAGAUCCAUUAUUCUGAGUCAGCUUCUAAGGAGCAGCAAUAAAAUCACCUUGGCCUGAUCUGCCAUUAGUCUGAGGGCAGAAAUUGUUGGCAUCGUGUUUAAUGCCUCCAACAAACUCAUGCCCAUCUCUGUAUACUCCCCGCGUCACCCACUCCUGGCCAACACAAUCACAGAAUCACUAAGGUUGGAAAAUACCACUAAGAUCAGCAAGCCCACUCCUCAACCCACACCCACCACGUCCAACGACCAUGUCCCUCAGUGCCACAUCUACCCUAUUCUUGGACACCUCCAGGGGAGGUGACUCCACCACCUCCCUGGGCAGUUUGUUUCAAUGCAUCGCCACUCCUUCGGAGAAUAAAUUUUUCCCAAUAUCCAACCUGAACCUCCCCUGAUACAACUUCAGGCCAUUACCUCUCACCAUAGGUCUCUGGUUGGUAUAAUUCCUUCUUCUACAUACUUUUCUUUCCCAUAAUAUUUCUUCCUCAGACGCGUAGGCCUGGGUUGAAAGGCCGGGCGGUGAGGACCUUGGUACCAGAUCUCCACCUUUUUCUCCUUUUGUUCUCACACCUCAGCAUCCUGCUGAGAAGAGAUCAUGUUCCACUGCCUAUGCUGCCACCAGGCUUGAUUUUGGGUAGAAAACCUGCAGCUUUAGGAUGCCUUCAGCUGUGACACCUGAAGUCAAUACAUUCUCCUGGAAAUGUUGGUCCAGACCUGGUCAUGUUUAAAGGAGGAAAGAAGAGGGAAAUCAGGUGACCCUACAUCUCCUGGAGGGGAGUAGAAUUGGCUUUAGGCUUGCUGAAGGGUUGUCACAUUCCAGCUGCCAAGAGGGAGUGAAAUGGAAGCAUUUGGGUGCAAUGGAUUAGCAAGGCAGAGAGGUGCUGAAGGGUUAAAGGGUUUUAUAGAAGCACAGAAGAGACUAAAGGGAUUGGAAAGCAAAAAUCCAAUUAGGAGAUCUAACAGGAAGAAGCCCAGCCCUGAAACAAUAAAGAUAAUGGGUUUAGCUGCCAAAGGAAAGAUGAGAAUGGAGUAGGGAGAGCAGAUUUGUGGCGGGGCCAAGAGGAAGGAAAAGUUGUUGCAAAAUGAUUGGGUUUUGAAUUAAGAAUUAUUUGUCAAAGCAGAGUCACAUUACAGCCUCACCUGCAGCAAAGUUCAUCUCAGGACCCGAACUGUGCCAUCAAUCCUUGCUAUUGUAGCAGGUUGAAUGUCCUCAAAGAAGUUUGAAGUUGGAGCCCAUCACUCACUUAAUCCUGCACAUUGUGCCAUGAGAGAACUGACCUCAGCAAGAUAUGUCUGCUUGCUAUUCUGUAUUAUCUUGCCAAUGCAUUUUGCCAAGGAUCAAAGCAAAGGAAAGGAGCUGUGGUGUAGAUGUGCUCUGAGGCAUGCCAUGUCCCUAAAGGCCCCUUUCUAAAGGCCAAACGUAACAGAACAACACAGAGAGGGAGCGAGGAGCUGUCAAAGGUCUGGAACAGCUUCCCCACAAGUAUGGGUUGUGCAUGUCAGUAUGGAAAAGACAUGACUUAUGACUGUGAAGUCAUGCAUGGCCUAGAGAAGGCUGGUGAGGAUUGGCCUGCUUCUAUGAUUGUCUUUCCAGUUCAAGAAGUGAGGUCAGCUUCAAGAGGACAGAAGACAGACCUGGGUUGCUCCUUGCUGAAGGAUGCUGCUAUUUGCAGACAUUUAGAGAGGUUCAAGGAAAGCUCAUGGGGCAACAGUCAUCAGAGUUAAUAAAUAGAGACACGUUGGGUUUAGGAAGAAUUUGGGGCUGUGCUCUUGCUUGUAUUAGUGAGGAGUGUAGGGAGCACUUGGGCUCUGCCCAGGUGGACCUUAAACCUGGGAGAGAUGAGAAAUGAGAAGUAUGGAAGAGGCAAGGCCCAUGGAUGAGAAAUGUGUGGGAAAUUAUGGGCUGCCAAGCAAUGUGCCCUUGGAAGCACCUGCUGUUCUUUGAACACUCUCCAGGACACUGGUUGGCCAGCCCUAGAGACUUCAGGAACUGCGACUGAAGGAACUGGGGAUGUUUAGUCUGGGGAAGAGGAAGCUGAGGGGAGACCUUAUUGCAUCUCCUCCAAUAUCUGAAAGGUGCUUACAGCGAGAGUGGGGUUGGUCUCUUCUCACUGAUGACAGAUGACAGGAUGAGAGGACCUCAAGUUACCCCAGGCAAGUUUAGGUUGGAUAUCGGGAAACACUUCUUUA